UUUUUUUUGAGACAGAGUCUCGCUCUGUUGCCCAGGCUGGAGUGCAGUGGCGCAAUCUCGGCUCACUGCAAGCUCCGCCUCCUGGGUUCACGCCAUUCUCCUGCCUCAGCCUCCGGAGUAGCUGGGACUACAGGCGCCCGCCACCGCGCCUUGUAUUUUUAGUAGAGGCGGGGUUUCACCCUGGUCUCGAUCUCCUGACCUCGUGAUCCGCCUGCCUCGGCCUCCCAAAGUGCUGGGAUUACAGGCGUGAGCCACCGCGCCCGGCAUCUGAACUUUGUUUUAUUUAUUUUUUUUGAGACAGAAUCUCACUCUGUCACCCAGGCUGGAGUGCAGUGGUGUGAUCUCGGCUCACUGCAACUUCCACCUCCCAGGUUCAAGCGAUUCUUGUGCCUCAGCCUCCCGAGUAGCUGGGACUAUAGGCGUGUGCCACCACGCCCAGCUAAUUUUUAUAUUUUUAGUAGAGACAGAGUUUCACCAUAUUGGCCAGGCUGGUCUUGAACUCCUGACCUCGUGAUCCGCCCGCCUCGGCCUCCCAAAGUGCUGGGAUUACAGGCAUGAGCCACCAUGCCUGGCAGCAUCUGAACUUUUAAUGACUUGGAAUUGUGGGGAAAAGAGAGAGAUCAGACUGUUACUGUGUCUAUGUAGAAAGAAGUAGACAUAAGAGACUACAUUUUGUUCUGUACUAAGAAAAAUUCUUCUGCCUUGAGAUGCUGUGAAUCUGUAACCCUAGCCCCAACCCUGUGCUGGCAGAAACAUGUGCUGUGUCAACUCAAGGUUAAAUGGAUUAAGGGCUGUUCAGGAUGUGCUUUGUUAAACAAAUGCUAGAAGACAGCGUGCUUGUUAAAAGUCAUCACCACUCCUUACUCUCAAGUACCCAGGGACACAGAACACUGCGAAAGGCCGCAGGAACCUCUGCCUAGGAAAGCCAGGUAUUGUCCAAAGUUUCUCCCAUGUGAUAGCCUGAGAUAUGGCCUCAUGGGAAGGGAAAGACCUGACCAUCCCCCAGCCCAACACCCGUAAAGGGUCUGUGCUGAGGAGGAUUAGUAAAAGAGGAAGGCCUCUUUGCAGUUGAGGUAAGAGGAAGGCAUCUGUCUCCUGCUGGUCCCUGGACAAUGGAAUGUCUCGGUGUAAAGCCCAAUUGUAUAUUCCAUCUACUGAGAUAGGAGAAAACUGCCUUAGAGCUGGAGGUGAGACAUGCUGGAGGCAGUACUGCUCUUUAAGGCAUUGAGAUGUUUAUGUAUAUGCACAUCAAAAGCACAGCACUUUUUCCUUUACCUUGUUUAUGACAGAGACAUUUGUUCAGGUUUUCCUGCUGACCCUCUCUCCACUAUUACCUUAUUGUCCUGCCACAUCCCCCUCUCCGAGAUGGUAGAGAUAAUGAUCAAUAAAUACUGAGGGAACUCAGAGGCCGGUGCAGGCGCGGGUCCUCUGUAUGCUGAGUGCUGGUCCUGUAGGCCUACUUUUCUUUCUCUGUACUUUGUCUCUAUGUCUCUUUCUUUUCUCAAAUCUCUCCGUUCCACCUGACGAGAAAUGCCCACAGGUGUGGAGGGGCAGGCCACCCCUUCAGGAAUGGAAUGGAAAGUGAAGAUACACGUCAGUGGUACAGGGUGCUUUAUCACAUCAUUGAUUUUAUUAUUUUUUUCUUUUUUUGAGUUGAGUCUCCCUCUAUCACCCAGGAUGGAGUGCAGUGGUGAGAUUUUGGCUCACUGUAGCUUCCACCUUCCAGAUUACAGUGAUUCUGUUGCCUGAGCCUCUCGAGUAGCUGGGAUUAGAGAUGCACGCCACCACGCUUGUAACGGCAUGAUGUGAUGUGUGUGCAUGAAUACAUGGAUGGAUAAGCCCAUGGUUUAUGUAGAAAACACUUGAUUUGCAAUAAGGUAUAUUUUUUAUAGUUGUUAUGAUUGUAAGUAUUUUUCAUUUUUGUUAACUAUCACAAUGAUGAGUUAUUAGUAAGGAUUGGCCGGGUGAGGUGGCUCACGCCUGUAAUCCCAGCACUUUGGGAGGCCCAGGUGGGUGAAUCACAAGGUCAGGAGUUUGAGAUCAGCCUGGGCAAAAUGGUGAAAUGCCAUCUCAACUAAAAAUUAGCCAGGCCUGGUGGCAGGUGACUGUAAUGCCAGCUACUCGGGAGGCUGAGGUAAGAGAAUUGCUUGAACCUGGGUGGAAGAAGUUGCAGUGAGCCAAGAUUGUGCCACUGCACUCCUGCCUGGGUGAUAGAGUGACACUCCUUCUCAAAAAAAAAAAAAUUAAAAAACGUCAUAAUUAUUAAUAUUAUUAUUAUUACAGGCAUGAGCCACUGUGCUUGGCCUGCCUCUGUUUUCACAGACACAUCUCUUCAUACUCAGCCAAGGGAUCCUUCUUCACAUCCAUGGUCUCUACAUUGCUGUACUCCUCGUAGACUUUACUCAUUUUUUUUGUGUGUAUGAAAUUCUGGAAUCUACACAAGGCAUAUUUUUGAGUAUAUGCUUGAAACUAGAAAUCAGAGGCCAUUUUACCUAAGAGAUGUAAAACUGCUUUCACCUCAGGCCACCAUACUGCUGAUUUUUUGGAUCUUGUUCAUUCUUGUCCCUUGCCCAUAUUGUAAUUUGCAUAGUUAACCUUGGGUCAGUAUUUUACCAUUUGCUAAAUUAGUUCCAUUUUCCUCCAAGCUCAAAACUUGGUCUAUCCCAGUGGAAUUAUAUUCCCACAGAUGUGCAUGCACAAAGUUCACUCCUACGUGCCCAUUCCUGCCCUCCACCCUUGCCCUCCUUUUCCUGGCCUUGCUUCACAUGGUACAUUGAUUUGGAUGCAAAAUACUGUUGCUUUCCAGCCUAUUGAUUUUGUAAUAGUGAACACCCCAAUUUCCCCAUGAGCCCCUCCCCUCCAACACUACUCUCACUGAGUAAGUCAAGACCUUAUUCAUCCACUGGACAAAAUUAUAGGAGGCCGCUUAAAUCAGUGUGUGCAGGGCAUCAUGACUCAGCACAUGAUCCAUGAGGGAUGGCUUCAGAACCACUGUCAGCAGCGCAGCUCAGCGCUUGUGUCCCAGCUCAGCCCUUGUAUCCCCCUUGAUGUACUUCUAUCUGUUCUCUCUCUCUCUCUCUCUCUCUCUCUCUCUCUCUCUCUCUCUCUCUCUCUCUCUAUAUAUAUAUAUAUAUAUAUAUAUAUACACUUUUUUUAUUAUACUUUAAGUUCUAGGGUACAUGUGCACAACGUGCAGGUUUGUUACACAUGUAUACAUGUUCCAUGUUGGUGUGCUGCACCCAUUAAUUCAUCAUACUUCUUUCUGUUCUUGUAUUUUCUGUGACUGGUCAUUUUCUGUACUUUCUUGGCAGACUACUGUGCUUAAAAACAUGGGAUCCUUCAGGCCCAUGAUCAAGUUUGUCCCUCACUUAGCGUAUGUGCAAAUUGGGGUCAUGUACAUGAACACACUGGCCUGCUGUA
RNAcentral lists this long non-coding RNA (3420 nucleotides) under Homo sapiens (human). Lineage: Eukaryota; Metazoa; Chordata; Mammalia; Primates; Hominidae. The record is from RNAcentral.